This 272-nucleotide long non-coding RNA is filed under the name Mus musculus (house mouse). RNAcentral describes it as "predicted gene, 49350". The record is from RNAcentral. Lineage: Eukaryota; Metazoa; Chordata; Mammalia; Rodentia; Muridae.
UUUAAAAGCUGUUACCAUUGGCUGGUACUGAAUGGAUGCCAAGCUUAGGUAUCCUGCUGUAUCCGGUAGAGGCUGUGACAAGCAUCAGAUCUCAUUUGCAUACAGCAGGAUGACAAGGAGUGAGUUAGCCUCAGAUGCAGGUGCUGGCAUAUAUGUGAGAAGUCUUUCAUUGAACACGUGCAGUUCCAGCUUAGGGAGAUAUUUCCAGCAUGAUUAUACCAUGCCCUGCCCACAAUGGCUAGACUUCUGGGUCCUGUGCACAGUGGCUAGAC